AUUAAAUGGAAAGGUACAACGUGGACUGAGAUGAGCCGCUCCCAUUUCUUCCUUCAGUAUUCGUUCGUCCUUCCCUGUUUAGAUCUGUUAUGGCUGCUGCUAGACCUGAUCUAUUUCUUCUUCCUCGUUUCGUUUUGAUUCCCAUUUCUGUGAUCUGAUCUGUUGAGAAUUUUCAUUUUCAUUGUCUAAAGUUUUGCGUUGUUAUCUUCUUUAUUUGCUCAAAACCCUAGCUUUCGUCCUCUGGCUUCUUUGAUGAGUGAGGUUGGGAAAAAUUGAAAGGCUCCUGUUCGAAGAAACUGUACAGUUCUUGAAGGAGGAGGCAGCGAGAUUGAGGCAACAAUUGAUAAACUUGCAAGAAACUCCUGUACACAUUUUAUGAGAAUGAAAUCAAAAUAGGCAAAAUCGGGACAAAGAGACGUUUAAGGAUUUGAGGAGGUGCAAUGGAGAUGGAUGAGAGUAGAAGAAUGAUAUAGAUGGUUUUCUUGGAAGUUUUAUAUUAGUUGUCUCAAGCUUGCUGCCUCCCUCUGCCAGAACUAGUAAGUAAAGAUGUGAGAUUUAUCCGUAAAUAUAUGUUUCUAGUAUAUCAGCUAACUAAUAUAAAUUAUGAAGCAAACAAGCUGAUCAGACCAUGGAAUAUUUUUUAUCCUUAACUAUUAUCGAGAUUAUUGACCUCUUCUUAUUGUUCUCGUUGCUAUGAUUUAAAUAUGAGCUCACAUUUUACCUAAACCUUUUAUAAUUUAAGUCAGUUAAGAUUAUGCAAAAUAGAUUAUUAUCAUGUAAGUUUUAGACUUUUAUCAUAUUCUUACAUCGUUUGUUGCCUAUUUUCUUCAGUGCUUACUCGGGGUGCCUUCCUAUCUUGCAUAUGAGAUGGCAUGAAAGCCGAUAUAAAUUUAUGCUUUCUCUCAUGGCUAUUGGUUUGCUCAUAUUCAUGCAUACGAACUACAAAGGAACUGAAAUUUUAGACCCAAAGCAGUGCCUUCUGAAUUUAUGUUUGCUACAGAAGAUAAAUUAUUGUUUCACCCACAAAAUGGCCUCAUCUGAAUUUCUAUAUUAACAUAUAUAAGCGAUAUGUGUUCUUAGGUUAAAAUGAUUUUUGAGAAUUAUUGCUGCUUUAUUAUCUAUGGUAAGAAAACAAUUUAUCUUCUUUUGGAUAAGGGUCAAGUGCUUAGACAGGCUGACGAUUCUAUAUUUCAAUGGUUCCGACCAAACGAGUUCCUUAUGGGUUGCUAUAACUAUAAGAAGUUAAGAAAUAUUGUUUUGUGAAACAACUUUUGAUCUUCUUUCGUACCUGUAAGUGGAACUUGUAAGAAUUCUAGCAGUUCUCUUGUUUCA
Asparagus officinalis (garden asparagus) is the source of this 1332-nucleotide long non-coding RNA. RefSeq lists it as uncharacterized. The record is from RefSeq and is a predicted model, not a curated record. Lineage: Eukaryota; Viridiplantae; Streptophyta; Magnoliopsida; Asparagales; Asparagaceae. The transcript has 4 exons.